RNAcentral lists this ribosomal RNA (484 nucleotides) under uncultured bacterium. RNAcentral's name for it is "partial 16S ribosomal RNA". It matches the Rfam family "Bacterial small subunit ribosomal RNA", at positions 28 to 507 of the family's 1533-position model. The record is from RNAcentral.
AUUGAACGCUGGCGGCAUGCUUUACACAUGCAAGUCGAACGGCAGCGCGGGCUUCGGCCUGGCGGCGAGUGGCGAACGGGUGAGUAAUGCAUCGGAACGUGCCCAGUAGUGGGGGAUAGCCCGGCGAAAGCCGGAUUAAUACCGCAUACGACCUGAGGGUGAAAGCGGGGGACCGAAAGGCCUCGCGCUAUUUGAGCGGCCGAUGUCGGGUUAGCUAGUUGGUGGGGUAAAGGCUUACCUAGGCGACGAUCCGUAGCUGGACUGAGAGGACGACCAGCCACACUGGGACUGAGACACGGCCCAGACUCCUACGGGAGGCAGCAGUGGGGAAUUUUGGACAAUGGGGGCAACCCUGAUCCAGCCAUGCCGCGUGCGGGAAGAAGGCCUUCGGGUUGUAAACCGCUUUUGUUCGGGAAGAAAUCCUCUGGGCUAAUACCCCGGGGGGAUGACGGUACCGGAAGAAUAAGCACCGGCUAACUACGUG